RNAcentral lists this ribosomal RNA (497 nucleotides) under uncultured bacterium. RNAcentral's name for it is "partial 16S ribosomal RNA". It matches the Rfam family "Bacterial small subunit ribosomal RNA", at positions 28 to 507 of the family's 1533-position model. The record is from RNAcentral.
GAUGAACGCUGGCGGCGUGCCUAAUACAUGCAAGUCGAGCGAACGGACGAGAAGCUUGCUUCUCUGAUGUUAGCGGCGGACGGGUGAGUAACACGUGGAUAACCUACCUAUAAGACUGGGAUAACUUCGGGAAACCGUAGCUAAUACCGGAUAAUAUUUUGAACCGCAUGGUUCAAAAGUGAAAGACGGUCUUGCUGUCACUUAUAGAUGGAUCCGCGCUGCAUUAGCUAGUUGGUAAGGUAACGGCUUACCAAGGCAACGAUGCAUAGCCGACCUGAGAGGGUGAUCGGCCGCACGGGAACUGAGACACGGUCCAGACGCCUACGGGAGGCAGCAGUAGGGAAUCUUCCGCAAUGGGCGAAAGCCUGACGGAGCAACGCCGCGUGAGUGAUGAAGGUCUUCGGAUCGUAAAACUCUGUUAUUAGGGAAGAACAUAUGUGUAAGUAACUGUGCACAUCUUGACGGUACCUAAUCAGAAAGCCACGGCUAACUACGUG